AUGGCGGUGGAUCUGACCCCGAGGCAGCCGGCGAAGGCGUACGGCGGCGAGGGCGGCGCCUACUACGAGUGGAGCCCAGCCGAGCUGCCCAUGCUCGGUGUCGCCUCCAUCGGCGCAGCCAAGCUCUCGCUCGCCGCCGGCGGCAUGUCCCUCCCCAGCUACUCCGACUCCGCAAAGGUCGCCUACGUCCUCCAAGGCAAGGGAACCUGUGGCAUCGUCCUGCCUGAGGCCACCAAGGAGAAGGUGGUCGCCGUCAAGGAGGGUGACGCUAUGGCGCUCCCGUUCGGCGUGGUCACCUGGUGGCACAACACCCCGGGGUCUGCGACGGAGCUCGUCAUCCUCUUUCUUGGCGACACCUCCAAGGGCCACAGGCCCGGCCAGUUCACCAACUUCCAGCUCACGGGCGCCAGCGGCAUCUUCACCGGCUUCUCCACAGAGUUCGUCGGCCGCGCCUGGGACCUCAAGCAGAAUGACGCGGCCAAGCUCGUCUCCAGCCAGCCAGCCUCCGGCAUCGUCAAGCUCUCGGCCGGGCAGAAGCUCCCCGAGCCUGUCGCAGAGGACCGCAAGGACAUGGCGCUCAACUGCCUGGAGGCCAAGCUCGACGUGGACAUCCCCAAGGGCGGCCGUGUGGUGGUGCUCAACACGGCCAACCUGCCGCUUGUUAAGGAGGUCGGGCUGGGGGCUGACCUGGUCAGGAUCGACGCCCACUCCAUGUGCUCCCCUGGAUUCUCGUGCGAUUCGGCGUACCAGGUCACGUAUAUCGUCCGUGGCAGCGGGCGCGUGCAGGUCGUCGGCCCGGACGGCAAGCGUGUGCUGGAGACCCGCAUCGAGGGCGGCAGCCUCUUCAUCGUGCCCCGCUUCCACGUUGUGUCCAAGAUCGCUGAUGCCUCUGGCAUGGAGUGGUUCUCCAUCAUCACCACCCCCAACCCGAUCUUCAGCCACCUGGCGGGGAAGACAUCGGUGUGGAAGGCCAUCUCGCCGGAGGUGCUGGAGGCGUCAUUCAACACGACGCCGGAGAUGGAGAAGCUCUUCCGGUCCAAGAGGCUCGACUCCGAGAUCUUCUUCGCCCCCAACUAG
Molecule: ribosomal RNA, 1077 nt
Filed under: Triticum aestivum (bread wheat)
Lineage: Eukaryota; Viridiplantae; Streptophyta; Magnoliopsida; Poales; Poaceae
Description: partial small subunit ribosomal RNA
Source: RNAcentral